UACAGAGGUCCCGAGCGUUGUUCGGAUUCACUGGGCGUAAAGGGUGCGUAGGUGGUGAGGUAAGUCGGAUGUGAAAUCUCCGGGCUCAACCCGGAAAUGGCACUGGAAACUACCUUGCUGGAGGAUUUGAGGGGGGAUUGGAAUACUUGGUGUAGCAGUGAAAUGCGUAGAUAUCAAGUGGAACACCAGUGGCGAAGGCGAAUCCCUGGAAAAUACCUGACACUGAGGCACGAAAGCUAGGGGAGCAAACAGG
Molecule: ribosomal RNA, 253 nt
Filed under: uncultured bacterium
Lineage: Bacteria
Description: partial 16S ribosomal RNA
Rfam family: Bacterial small subunit ribosomal RNA
Source: RNAcentral